This 994-nucleotide ribosomal RNA is filed under the name gut metagenome. RNAcentral describes it as "bacterial SSU rRNA". It matches the Rfam family "Bacterial small subunit ribosomal RNA", at positions 89 to 1064 of the family's 1533-position model. The record is from RNAcentral.
AGUAAAGUGGCGCACGGGUGAGUAACGCGUGGAUAAUCUACCCUUAAGAUGGGGAUAACGGCUGGAAACGGUCGCUAAUACCGAAUACGCUCCCGAUUUUAUCGUUGGGGGGAAAGAUGGCCUCUGCUUGCAAGCUAUCGCUUAAGGAUGAGUCCGCGUCCCAUUAGCUAGUUGGCGGGGUAACGGCCCACCAAGGCAACGAUGGGUAGCCGGUCUGAGAGGAUGACCGGCCACACUGGAACUGGAACACGGUCCAGACUCCUACGGGAGGCAGCAGUGGGGAAUAUUGCGCAAUGGGCGAAAGCCUGACGCAGCGACGCCGCGUGAGGGAUGAAGGUUCUCGGAUCGUAAACCUCUGUCAGGGGGGAAGAAACCCCCUCGUGUGAAUAAUGCGAGGGCUUGACGGUACCCCCAAAGGAAGCACCGGCUAACUCCGUGCCAGCAGCCGCGGUAAUACGGAGGGUGCAAGCGUUAAUCGGAAUCACUGGGCGUAAAGCGCACGUAGGCGGCUUGGUAAGUCAGGGGUGAAAUCCCACAGCCCAACUGUGGAACUGCCUUUGAUACUGCCAGGCUUGAGUACCGGAGAGGGUGGCGGAAUUCCAGGUGUAGGAGUGAAAUCCGUAGAUAUCUGGAGGAACACCGGUGGCGAAGGCGGCCACCUGGACGGUAACUGACGCUGAGGUGCGAAAGCGUGGGUAGCAAACAGGAUUAGAUACCCUGGUAGUCCACGCUGUAAACGAUGGGUGCUGGGUGCUGGGAUGUAUGUCUCGGUGCCGUAGCUAACGCGAUAAGCACCCCGCCUGGGGAGUACGGUCGCAAGGCUGAAACUCAAAGAAAUUGACGGGGGCCCGCACAAGCGGUGGAGUAUGUGGUUUAAUUCGAUGCAACGCGAAGAACCUUACCCAGGCUUGACAUCUAGGGAACCCUUCGGAAAUGAAGGGGUGCCCUUCGGGGAGCCCUAAGACAGGUGCUGCAUGGCUGUCGUCAGCUCGUG